Molecule: long non-coding RNA, 5438 nt
Filed under: Homo sapiens (human)
Lineage: Eukaryota; Metazoa; Chordata; Mammalia; Primates; Hominidae
Description: HSALNT0257894
Source: RNAcentral
CAUGAUUGUGUGUUGGCCUAUCAGUUGAUGGGCACUUAGGUUGAUUCUAUGUCUUUGCAAUUGUGAAUUGUGCUGUAAUAAACAUAUGCAUGCAAGUGUUUUUUUGAUUUAGUGACUGUUUUUGGGAGGUAGAUACCCAGUAGUGGAAUUUCUGGGUAGAAUGGUAGAUCUACUUUUAGUUCUUUGACAAAUAUCCACAUCUUUUUCCACAGAGGUUGUGCUAAUUUACAAUCCCACCAGCUGCGUAUAAGCGUUCCAUUUUCACUACAUCCACACCAACAUCUAUUGCUUUUUGACUUUUAAAAAAUAGCCGUUCUGACUAGGAUAAAGUGGUGCCUCAUUGUGGUUCUAAUUUGUAUUUCCCUGAUUAGUGAUGUUGAGCAUUUUUUCAUCUGUCUGGUGGCUUUCUGUGUGUCUUAUUUUGAGAAAUGUGUAUUCAUUCAACUCAAGGAUUUUAUCCUUGCUUUUGUUUCUUCCUGGAAUGUUCUUACUUCACUUACCUGGGUCUCUCCUCUCAUUCAGGUCUCAAUGCCAAGGUCUUCCCUGAGGACCUGAUCUAGUUUCUCUUUCCCUAUUGAGAUGGAGCAGGAGCCCCCUUUAUUAGGGGCCUGCAGACCCCAAACAUGGAAAUCAAGGAGAAUCAUGAUUGCCUUCAAGGGAAGUUCCAGGCACCUAGCUAGCUCCAGAAGUCAAUAAGUAACUUAUUAAAAAAGAAGGCAAUAGUAGCCUAAAGGACACCUGAGGAAAUUAGAGUCCUAGGGAUGUUUGUUUUUCCUAAAGAAUCCAAGGAGAACAUCUUAACCUGUACUUCUGAGUUGUCUUUCAGAAACUCAGACCCCCACUGGGGACCCACACUGAAGGGAUCAGCCAAUAUGCAGACCUCAGAUACGCUCAGCGUGUUCCAAGACGCAGGCCCCACCCCCGGAGGUGAAUGUGUGGAGAUAACCAGUUACCACGGGGCUCUCUAGAAGGGGUCCAGCACACAGGCAGUUGGCAGAACCCGGGAAGUACCAGCUAUUGAAAUGAACUCAAACUGCCUUAUCUAAAGACUGUGAAAAAAGAAAUGGUUCGGGUACAAAGCUUACUGCCAAGGAGUGCUCUGCCACCUCUGCCUGACAGGGACAGAAGGGAUCUUGUUGGCAACACAUUCCCAGGGUUGGAAGGGCCCCUGCGGAGCUUCAUGGCACAGGCAGAACAGAUGCUGAGAUCACUCAUGUGGAUGAGAGACCUGGCUGCCCACUCACACCACCUGGCGAGCUUGAGAUCAGCAUCUAAAACGCCCCAGGAGAACUGGGCACUGGUUCUGACAAGUUAAGAAGGCAAAAGUCUGCUGCUCUGGGGUGACGGGUGUAACUGGAGUGAGUGUUGUGAACAAACAGAGAUAACGAAUUUUUCAAACAUUUUUUACCAUAGUCAGAUUUAAUCUCCUAUCUCUAAGUCUAUGGUCUUUCUUCUUCCCUCUAAAAUGUGUUAUUUCAUGGGGAGUUUUCUGAGAUACAGGCCAAGGGCAAAUUCUGGUACAGCUCAUCCACUCUGCCUCUCCACUGCUCUAGGAGCAGGCAGGAUUUGGUAGAGGUUGGGGAUGAAUCCCAGAGCUCAGCCCUGAGAGUCUGCACCCUGCAGACACAUCCUGGGGAGGUCACCACCCUGACCCUCUCUCUGGGUGGAGCAAACAGGCCAAGGAGACAAUGGUUCCAAAGGCGUUAGGACACAGCAGCCACGGGGGACUAGGCCUAGGAGCUCAGCAGCAGGGGACAGGGAAGGGCCAUGAGUCUUUUGCUUUGGGAAAUAGUUAGGUCUGAGACUUUUGGUGAUGGGCACAGGCAGCCUAUGCAAUCUUGUGCUGGAAGAGGUGCUUCUAAUCACAAAAAGGGCAAUAAGAUAGUUGCUUUUUGCCUGGGGAGGACAGGUGACAAGGUGAAGGUCACAUGCAAGGUCGUGGCAUUUUCCCAUAUGUGGGGAUGCUGAAUGCCAACAUCUCUAUUUCCCACCUUUCUACAUCCAGAUAAAUAAUGAAGCAUUUUCUGUAUGGAGGGCAGAGCCUGGUCUAUGCAGCUCUUUCUAUCAGGCAUGGAGACUUGCAGGCCCCUGGCUGAUCUUCUCCACCCAGCCAGUUGUUCCUGGAUUCAGUCAGGGCAGGCCUAGACUCCCCUUUCUGCUGGGUUGUGAGAACUGCAGUCUUUAGCAUGUGAGUCUUCGCAGGAGCAAAGGCAUGGGCCAAGGGUUUAAUAUUAUCACUUAAAACCAGAGGUGAAACUGGGUUGGGGCUAAGUCAGAACGAACAAAAAAGGAGCUACUCUUAAGACUUGCAGAGAAAUAGUGACAAUGACUCAUUUUAAACUAGAACCCAAUGUGGUAAUGAGCUCACAUUUGAGCAUUCGACAGUGCCUAUACAUUCUCCAAUGCAGGUGUCAUUAAGGGAGAUGUGUCUGGCAGCAGCAAGAGUAGUUUUAAUUGAGAAGUGGUUUCACACAGAUAUAUAGGGAUGGAAAUGGAUAUAUCUACAUACAUUUAGAUAUAUAGACAUCUAUGCAUAGAUCUGGAUCUAUAUCCAUGUAUCGACAGAUUCUGUACUAUUCACUCCUUUCUUCCUUCGCUUCACAGUCAUGGUUGAGUCUAAAAGAUAUUAAGACCAUCAGUUGAAAAGUAAAGCUCAUUUUAAACUAGUUAUUCAACUUUAUGUACUCCAUGUACCUACAGUCAGAGUAUUUUUUAAUUUCUGAUUUUACUCAGCAACUCAAAGGGAGCCUCUUCUUUCCUUCUUGUUUGUCUUUCUUCACCCCUUAAGUACAGGACCUUCAUUGGUCCCACUGGAAAUGACCCUGACCCCAGCCUUGGUUUGUGACUGACUGAAAUUCCUGUGGCCUUCUCAAAGCUGAGGUCUUCCAUUUGCACUGAUUCAUGGAUACUCAUGGCAUUGUGAGUCUUUCGCGAAUCUGCCAGGAUACAUCAUGUUAUCGGGUGCAGGUGUGUGUAAAGAUCUGACCCCUGAACACAUCUUUUGUGAACUAACAGAGAAACAGAUGCUAGUGGAUGUGUGUGUGUCAUCCACACCUAGGGAGACAACAGGGCUUCCAAACCCCUAGAGCUGAUCCCUGGCAGGGCUCAAACUGCAGGGGAGAUGCUGUGGGGGUCUGUGGUUACUUUUGUGCUGAAGACCUUCUUCUUCAGUGGUGCCUCUUCAUUUGCAAUUGUAAUUAUUUCUCUGGAAACUAGGAACCUAGGUUUUUGUGAAGUGAUAAAACUAAUUAGCCACAACAAAUCCUGUCUGUGCUUAGUUUGCUCAGGACUACACAGUGUAUAUUAGUUUGCCUUUUGGUAGGAGCCUCUUUGCUGUGGCAUGACAGUGCUGCAGUCCCCUGGGGCUGCUUCAACCCCCACCAGAAAGGAAAAUGAGAGAAACAAUGCAUUCGAGGCACAAGCCUGCUACAAAUCACCCAUUAAUUACACACAGAGCUGUGCGCCAGCCAAAGGGCUUUGUCGGGCUUGCACCUUGAAGCCAAUAGCAGAAUUCUAGGUGCUGCAAUUGGGAAUAAGGAGCUGUGCUCGACAUACAUGACCAUUGGGCACAGUCUAGGGCAAGGAGGAAUAAUUCAAGGCCACGCCAAAACCCAGGAGGAAGAACAUGGCCACACAACCCAUCUGCUUUGACCAGUCUUGCCUUCACGUGAGGUCAUUGGAAAGAAACCACCUGCACAGGUGUAAACUCCUGGGUGCUUUUGCCUAAGGCAGUUUCCAGGGGCAAGAGAAAUGCAACAAGAAUAAAGGUGACUCAUAAAAUGGAUCCUGCCAUGUAAAUUCGAAGCAGAAAGUGUAUUUUAAUUAGACUUGGUUGCUGCUUUCACCCGAUUUCCAAGUAUUAAAUUUUCUCUUUCAUUUCCUGCGUGAGUAAUCCUGGCCCUGAUUAAUUGAAAACACUAGGUCCUUGCUACUCCCACACAUUCCCCAUGGAGGGGACUGCGCUUCCGUGACAAAUGGUCAUGGAAUGUGCUCCAUUAUCAUUCCUUGACAUAGCAAAUAAAGAGGGGAAAUCAUUUAUUCCCAGCAUUGGCAAGCAGCCUUCGGGGACUGCACUGGCCAGCUCUGACACCCACUGAAUGAUGGUGGCGGCACUGAUUUGCGUUACCCGCAGACAGAACCCGUGCCCUCUCACUCCAUUAGCCAAGUCAGAAACAUCAAGCUUUUACGGAAUCCAUUCCAGCUGAAACAACAGUCUCCUUUAUCAUUGUAAUAAACACACCCAGGGACAGAGGAUAGCUGCUCAGGAAUUUCUGGGUAAGGUGAAUCCUACUGAACAAGAAAAGCUCUCCAAAGAAGUGGCCGGCUGUGAGUGAUGGUGUAGAUGCACUGGCUUUGCGAGGGGAAUGGGGGAGUGACUUGGGUGCUGACAGCAGCCAUCACACAAGGUUUCCUGAAGAUUGACAGUCAGCGCUGACAUUGUCAUCUUUGCAAGCCCCAAGAUUAGAUCUGCUAAGUCAGUGUCUGCAAGAUCUGCCUUGAUGAGGCUUGUACUGAGUAUUUGUUGUGUGGGGCCUCCUGGCCUCCAAGUCCCUCUCUGCCGCGAUAUGACAUCUUCCUUACGAGGAAUCAUUUGGUCGCCCUUGAGGACCAUUUUGGUGGGGCUAUUAAUCAGGGUGCACAGCCCUCCCCUGGCCAAUGAGCAGGCUUCGAGUAGAAGCUCAGCCAAUCAGAUUCCUCUGCAGAAAUGUUGGACUACUCCGGUGCUUGUCCGUUUUUGAUCCUGGAUUUUCAGCUUUCAUUUUUGGGAGCUCCGCCAUGUUCUUCCAGUAGAUUUUUAUUUUCCUACCUAAAUUGGCCAGAGUUAGUUUCUAUUCUUUAUAACUUUUUAAUUCUGACUGAAUUAGUGUCUUUCAUUUCUAUGAUUACUGAGACUUCUUUGUACUGUGACCAUAAAGUAAUUUGGCUGAUUUUAAUAGAAACUCCCCAGGAACUUAAUAUCCAAAAUUGUCCUUGAUAACACUUCUGUGCAUCCAAAGGCCUCAAUUUCCCUACUCCAUUCUCUUGCCACAUAAGACAGUAUUUCUUUUACUGUUUAAGUCACAUGGGUUGGGUUUUGUGUAAUGUGUAGUCCAGAGUUUUCCAGCCAGCAUAUGAUCUUUGUUCACAAAAAUUUUUGCAUUGAAUUUGGGAAGUACCAUGAUUGUCUACAAGCAUUUUUUUUGACUCUUCCUCAGGGAGAUAAAUAUGCAUCUUUUGAGAGGGGAUAAUAUUGGGAAGUAUUCAAAAUGUGUUCAAAGAGCAUUCAAACUGGAUAAUACAAUGUUUAAUCUAACAGAUAAAUCAACUCUAAAAUAACGUUUUGGUUUCUUCGUGAGGUUAAAAAGCAGGUCUGGAAGCUAUGUUAAAAGAAGAGGUCCAAGAAUAUUAUGCACAAAGGCCAUAUCGCUGGAAAAAAGUGCACAGAUUUACAAGGUGGC